Molecule: non-coding RNA, 148 nt
Filed under: Chlorocebus sabaeus (green monkey)
Lineage: Eukaryota; Metazoa; Chordata; Mammalia; Primates; Cercopithecidae
Source: Rfam by way of RNAcentral
GCCGGGCGUGGUGGUGCACACCUGUAAUCCCAGCUACUCCGGAGGCUGAGGCAGGAGAAUCGCUUGAACUCGGGAGGCGGAGGCUGCAGUGAGCCAAGAUCGUGCCACUGCGCUCCAGCCUGGGCGACAGAGCGAGACUCUGCCUCGA